AGCAUAUCCAAGUGCACUGUAUGGCCUCAGCCUACAGAACCCUUAACUCUUAAAUUUAUCAUCUAUUGAACAAUUUCUAGCAUCAAAAUUUGUACUACUUUCAACACCAAACAUCACUAAUUAAUGAAAGAAAAAUACAGAGGAAUUAUUCUAAACUUUCCUGGGGGCCCUACCUACGAUUUUGGGCAGGACGAAUAGCAAGCACCUCAUUUUCUAGUAAGUACUGCUAAGGUUAUUUUGUUUCUAUCCUAAACAAAUAUAUAUAUCCAUAGGACCUCAGAGUUAUGUGGGACUUCCAAUUGUGUAAGCAACUCCAUCGCAUCCUGAAUAAGUGAGAUCUGGGCUAAGCCUUCAUUCCCAAAGGCACAGAACUUCGCAUCCUCAGGCAGACCCUUCAUCUUUUACCAACUCUCAUCAGGAAAUUCUUAUCUCGGCCCAAAUUUUAUCUACUUCUAAAGUUCCUACUUAUCUUUCUUAGAACCAUACAAAACUGCUACAGAUGCCUCUUUCAUAGGACAGAGGGCAAUAUUUGAGGGCAAUAAUCAGUCCUCCUUGAGUUGACUCUUCUCCUGAAUGAACUUCCAAG
This 586-nucleotide small RNA is filed under the name Pongo abelii (Sumatran orangutan). Its description in RNAcentral is "retained intron". Lineage: Eukaryota; Metazoa; Chordata; Mammalia; Primates; Hominidae. The record is from RNAcentral.